GGUCACACCAAUGGUAUACAAGAUGUGGCAAGGCCAGAAGACCUACAGAGAGAGGUGAUUGACCAAAUGAAUGUGCGCAAGCUUUUACCUAUGGAUGCAACAGUUGACUAUGAUGAAGCUGGACCAAAUUUUAAUCAUACCCCAGGCGGAGGAUACCCUCCUAUAAGAAUAAAAAAUGACAAUUAAUCUUUAAAUGAUUUUCUAAAUAUAUAAAACCUUAAGCUUUAUGUAUUGAACUCUCAAAUCUAUAUAACCGUUAUCACCUUCUAAACUAUAUUAAUAAGUUUAGAGUUCAA
Long non-coding RNA from Solanum stenotomum, 296 nucleotides. RefSeq lists it as uncharacterized. Lineage: Eukaryota; Viridiplantae; Streptophyta; Magnoliopsida; Solanales; Solanaceae. The record is from RefSeq and is a predicted model, not a curated record. The transcript is spliced from 2 exons.